ACGCUGGCGGCGUGCUUAACACAUGCAAGUCGAACGAUGAAGCCUAGCUUGCUAGGUGGAUUAGUGGCGAACGGGUGAGUAAUACGUGAGUAACCUACCUUUAACUCUGGGAUAAGCCUGGGAAACUGGGUCUAAUACCGGAUACGACCAAUCUCCGCAUGGGGUGUUGGUGGAAAGCGUUAUGUAGUGGUUAUAGAUGGGCUCACGGCCUAUCAGCUUGUUGGUGAGGUAGCGGCUCACCAAGGCGACGACGGGUAGCCGGCCUGAGAGGGUGACCGGCCACACUGGGACUGAGACACGGCCCAGACUCCUACGGGAGGCAGCAGUGGGGAAUAUUGCACAAUGGGCGCAAGCCUGAUGCAGCGACGCCGCGUGAGGGAUGACGGCCUUCGGGUUGUAAACCUCUGUUAGCAGGGAAGAAGAGAGAUUGACGGUACCUGCAGAGAAAGCGCCGGCUAACUACGUGCCAGCAGCCGCGGUAAUACGUAGGGCGCGAGCGUUGUCCGGAAUUAUUGGGCGUAAAGAGCUUGUAGGCGGUUUGUCGCGUCUGCUGUGAAAGGCCGGAGCUUAACUCCGUGUAUUGCAGUGGGUACGGGCAGACUAGAGUGCAGUAGGGGAGACUGGAAUUCCUGGUGUAGCGGUGGAAUGCGCAGAUAUCAGGGGGAACACCGAUGGCGAAGGCAGGUCUCUGGGCUGUAACUGACGCUGAGAAGCGAAAGCAUGGGGAGCGAACAGGAUUAGAUACCCUGGUAGUCCAUGCCGUAAACGUUGGGCACUAGGUGUGGGGGACAUUCCACGUUUUCCGCGCCGUAGCUAACGCAUUAAGUGCCCCGCCUGGGGAGUACGGCCGCAAGGCUAAAACUCAAAGAAAUUGACGGGGGCCCGCACAAGCGGCGGAGCAUGCGGAUUA
This 910-nucleotide ribosomal RNA is filed under the name uncultured bacterium. RNAcentral describes it as "bacterial SSU rRNA". It matches the Rfam family "Bacterial small subunit ribosomal RNA", at positions 33 to 948 of the family's 1533-position model. The record is from RNAcentral.